Acanthochromis polyacanthus (spiny chromis) is the source of this 1458-nucleotide long non-coding RNA. RefSeq lists it as uncharacterized. NCBI's taxonomy places the organism in Eukaryota, Metazoa, Chordata, Actinopteri, Pomacentridae. The transcript is spliced from 2 exons. The record is from RefSeq and is a predicted model, not a curated record.
GCAUGUUGAAGGAGGAGGAGAGAGAGCAAUUAAAUCACUCCCCGAGCAGCCUGGGAUGACUCACACCACUGAGUUCAUACACGAAGGGGGAAGGGAAGAGGGAAAUAGACAGAGAGAGAGGCUGGCGUUGAGCUCACACUUAAAGAUAAUAUCUGGAAACAAGCCAAAGAAGAGGCUGUGGUGGAGCCUCACACACUAAUCCCUCAACCCAGACCAAAGCCAUGUCAGAGAGGAGAGAGAGAUAGAAACUCCCCUUUCUCAUUCUACAUCACCGUCUUGUCCCUCCUCUUUCACUGACUGCUUCUUUAACCACUGACCUACCACUCAGUCCGAGGCCCUGAGAGGAUACAUAUCUACACAGGGACCUUGUGUUGAGACUCCGACCCGCACCUGGAAAGAGGAUACAAGAGGAACAUUUUGCAUUGCAUCUAGGGGAGGGAAUUGGACAGGAGAGGAGGGCAAGCUAGGCCGACUGACGUCAUGGAAAACACGCAUCUGAUGUCCUAUUCGUCAGAGGUCUGCUCUCGACAUGAAAAACACGCUUUCUGCAAAGAGGCAAGUGUAAGCAGGAGAGGUUAAAGCUUAUAACACAAGUUGUCUUUGGUGGGAGGGCAGCGCUGUGCCUCGUAGCCAGGCCCAUCGUGUCUUCCCAGAGGGCAAGUGAGGAUCUCACCCUCCUCUCCCUUCUCCCUUCUCCCUUCUCCCUCUCGAUAAAGAGAUGCUCAGAAGCCAUAGAGGGCAGCCUGUGAGACGUCAGGCUGUGGGGAUUUACACGCUGCACUUUGUGUUUAUGGGCCUCAGCUCUGUUUGAGUGCCUGCGAGACAGAGACGGGCACUUUCACAGCCGACAUGAAAUAAACUCAUUACAGCCUUUGCGAGCGCUGGCAACGGGCCCCGCUUAGCAGCGAGGCACAGGACUGGCUAGAAAAGGCUGCAAGUGAUCUUCACACUGCUCUCCACUCUACUUUCAAGACUACCCACCACCUUGUCACUAUCAACACCUCCCUCCAUCCUGCUUUCCUCAGAGAUGCAAGGCAUGGAUGCUGCCGGAUUUGCUUCUACUGCGUGUUUUUAUAUAGUGAACUGCAUGCUCCCUAGGCACAUGAGGUGAGCAUGAAGGCUGCCUGCGAGACUGAGAGACAGUGUGGGAUGCAAGGAGACAGCAAAUAUGUGGAUCCGAGCUGUUACAGGAGGGUACUUGGAGGGCAAUGUGCAAGGCUGUUGGUAAAUAUAAUCCUGAGACACCUCACACUGUCUCAGCUGAUGUAGACGGGUGAGUGUACACAUGUGCACCACUAUGCAUCUCUUAAUACAGCAUGUGUGCACAUUAGAUAGCUGCGGUGGGUUUAUUAGCGUUCACCAGUUUAUCCAAUUAUGUAGACAGGCUUUCAUUAAACUGAUUUUGAUGUGUAAAUGUUCAAAAAGCUGAAUUAAACCUGUGUUGGUUUUACAGUUAAA